Non-coding RNA from Nicotiana attenuata, 173 nucleotides. The record is from Rfam. NCBI's taxonomy places the organism in Eukaryota, Viridiplantae, Streptophyta, Magnoliopsida, Solanales, Solanaceae.
AUACCUUUCUCGGCGUUUUAGCUAAGAUCAAGUGUAGUAUUUAUUUUAAUCAGUUUAAUAUCUGAUAUAUGAAUCGUCAGUACGCAUAUUAUUAAUUUAAUUUUUUAAGGGGAAGGUACAUCAAAGUAGUUUGCCACUUGGGCCUCGCGCGUCCCAAGCCUGGCUCAACUCAU